GCCUUCGUGGUGUAGUGGUCAGCACACUCGACGCAUAUUCGAGAGGUCCGUGGUUCGAGUCUCAGUGAGGACA
This 73-nucleotide transfer RNA is filed under the name Stegodyphus mimosarum. It matches the Rfam family "tRNA". Rfam says of the family: Transfer RNA (tRNA) molecules are approximately 80 nucleotides in length. Their secondary structure includes four short double-helical elements and three loops (D, anti-codon, and T loops). Lineage: Eukaryota; Metazoa; Arthropoda; Arachnida; Araneae; Eresidae. The record is from Rfam by way of RNAcentral.